Molecule: ribosomal RNA, 253 nt
Filed under: uncultured bacterium
Lineage: Bacteria
Description: partial 16S ribosomal RNA
Rfam family: Bacterial small subunit ribosomal RNA
Source: RNAcentral
UACGGAGGGUGCGAGCGUUAAUCGGAAUUACUGGGCGUAAAGGGUGCGUAGGUGGUUUGAUAAGUUAGCUGUGAAAUCCCCGGGCUUAACCUGGGCAGGUCAGCUAAGACUGUUGAACUCGAGUAUAGGAGAGGGUAGUGGAAUUUCCGGUGUAGCGGUGAAAUGCGUAGAGAUCGGAAGGAACACCAGUGGCGAAGGCGGCUACCUGGCCAGAUACUGACACUGAGGCACGAAAGCGUGGGGAGCAAACAGG